This is a long non-coding RNA of Pecten maximus, 1097 nucleotides long. RefSeq lists it as uncharacterized. The record is from RefSeq and is a predicted model, not a curated record. Lineage: Eukaryota; Metazoa; Mollusca; Bivalvia; Pectinida; Pectinidae. The transcript has 3 exons.
UUCUGUUUUCUGGAUUUCGAGUGUGUGCCUAAUGGAACAUACCACAUAACUGAUGGUUGCAAGUUUUGCCACACUGAGCGGAACCCCAUAGACUGGACAGAGGAUCUGGACAAUAUUGAGUGUAUUGAAGUUACAACCAUUAGGCAACCUGAUCCAGCCGAAAGGUCCCUUAGUAUAGCCGUUAUAGCAAGCAGUUCCUCGGCUGGGAUUGUUGUACUCAUUGCGGCCGUAGCCUUCAUCAUAUACCGUAUUUACCGCAAAUUCGUACUCAGAAAUGCAACCUUUCCUGAGACUGCACAUACAUUUGGACAAAAUAAUCCUCACUUCAAGCCGGGAGAGUUCCUUCCUGAGAAGAAACAUAUUAUCUGACGACAAAUCUCCAUGGAAUACGUCGUUUUUUAAAUGUACCUGCUGUGUGAGACAGCUUUAACUGUUCGAUGAUGUCGUCAUUUUUUCAAUAAUCGUGACCAUCAGAAAAAAUUGUGAACGUGCACAGUGACUUAUUCGGUUCAUGAUUAUCAAAUUGCUGCUUAUAUAAUGUUAAUCCGAAGUUAAAAGAAUACAACUUUGAUUUUUUAUUCAAAUGAACUCAAAAUGUGUUUGUACAGGUGAAAUAUACAUAAUUAAUACGAGUUAAGUAAACAUGUUUGUAAAAGUUAAAUAUACAUUUUCAUACAAGUUAAACACAUAUAUUUGCACAUGUGAAAUAUACAUAUAUAUACAAAGUUAAAAGAUUAUUUGUACAAGUGAAAUACACAUAUAUAUAAGCAUUCAUAUUUGUCAAAGUUUGAUGAAUACAAACCGUGUCAGACAUCACAGCUUAAGAUUCACAAGAUAAUCAACUAUUUGUUGGAAUAUUACACGUUUUUACAGAAAAUAAAUACACAUUUGUACAGGUGAAGCAUAAUUUUACAAGUUAAACACACAUGUUUGUACAGGUGAAAUAUACAUCUUGAUACAGGUUAUGCUGAAAUAUUUGUACAGAUGAAACAAACAUUGAUACGAGUUAAACACACAAGCUGAUACAAAUAAAACAUAAUAAGGUGAUAUGGAAAAACCAACAUUGUUACAGUUUUCUUAUUUUCAUGUUAUUUAUG